This 836-nucleotide ribosomal RNA is filed under the name Rothia koreensis. Its description in RNAcentral is "bacterial SSU rRNA". It matches the Rfam family "Bacterial small subunit ribosomal RNA", at positions 48 to 889 of the family's 1533-position model. The record is from RNAcentral. Lineage: Bacteria; Bacillati; Actinomycetota; Actinomycetes; Micrococcales; Micrococcaceae.
CUUACCAUGCAGUCGAACGCUGAGCUGGGUGCUUGCACCUGGUGGAUGAGUGGCGAACGGGUGAGUAAUACGUGAGUGACCUUCCUUGGACUCUGGGAUAAGCCCGGGAAACUGGGUCUAAUACCGGAUACGACCAGUCCUCGCAUGGGGUGCUGGUGGAAAGGGUUUGUACUGGUUCUUGAUGGGCUCACGUCCUAUCAGCUUGUUGGUGAGGUAAUGGCUUACCAAGGCGACGACGGGUAGCCGGCCUGAGAGGGUGACCGGCCACACUGGGACUGAGACACGGCCCAGACUCCUACGGGAGGCAGCAGUGGGGAAUAUUGCACAAUGGGCGCAAGCCUGAUGCAGCGACGCCGCGUGGGGGAUGACGGCCUUCGGGUUGUAAACCUCUUUCAGCAGGGAAGAAGCGAAAGUGACGGUACCUGCAGAAGAAGCGCCGGCUAACUACGUGCCAGCAGCCGCGGUAAUACGUAGGGCGCAAGCGUUGUCCGGAAUUAUUGGGCGUAAAGAGCUCGUAGGCGGUUUGUCGCGUCUGCUGUGAAAGCCCGGGGCUCAACCCCGGGUGUGCAGUGGGUACGGGCAGGCUGGAGUGCAGUAGGGGAGACUGGAAUUCCUGGUGUAGCGGUGAAAUGCGCAGAUAUCAGGAGGAACACCGAUGGCGAAGGCAGGUCUCUGGGCUGUUACUGACGCUGAGGAGCGAAAGCAUGGGGAGCGAACAGGAUUAGAUACCCUGGUAGUCCAUGCCGUAAACGUUGGGCACUAGGUGUGGGGGGACAUUCCACGUUUUCCGCGCCGUAGCUAACGCAUUAAGUGCCCCGCCUGGGGAGUACGGCCGC